UUUUCCUUUUUCAGCCCACGGAUUGUUCUUCUUAUCCGGAGCAUUAAUCAACGGAUCGUUCUUCUCAUUUUCCUCAAUGAACGACCGCAUUCUGUGCAAAAAGAGAGAAGUGGUGAGACAUGGAAAUUCAUAUGAAGGAGGUCACCCAAUGGGGCUGUGCCAAAAUGUGAGAAUAAAGAGUUCUCAAGGCUGGACGGACUAUUGCCCCUCGGGCACUGGUAGGGGAAAAUACAAAGAGGAAUUUUUGACUGUUUGAAAAGCCAGAAAUCUACUGUUGAAGCUGUUGAUGGAGUCUGUAUUUUAAUGACAGAAUAUUUCAUAUCAAAUUUCCAAAGACAUUGUCGGUUCGUUUCCACACGUCUAUCUACCUUCAGCGUCUAAUAUUUAUUUCCCUUAUUUACAAUUAAAUCCCCUAAGCACUUCCUUAUCGUGAAAUUCAAUUCCCAAUCAAAAUUCAACAAAAUUGUUAUUAAAAAAUCAAUGCAAAAUGUUGGCAUUUGUUUGCAGAAGCGAGGAAGAAGGCCACACACGUGUCAGAUAGAAUGAAAAUGCCAAUGCCUCACGCAAGGCAAUCGAAUUGAAUGCGAAAUGCCAAAGUUCUAAUUCGCAAAGAAAGAGAAAAAAGUAAUAUUUUCCAGGUAUCGUUUAAGUCAUUUGAGCUAUGAAAAGCCCCCUGGAAAGCAAGCGCCUUUGAGGCGGCAGCCUUAAGUCUCCUACAGUCUCCUUCUCUCUCUGCCAAGGAGAAAUAAAAUACAUAAACAGAAAGCUUAGCAUACAUUUGAGAGCAGCCUUCCGAUUUCCAAUUCCUUGAGUAUUCGAGGCACGCACGACGCCCACGCCCAAGCCCUCGUCCCGCCUCGUAGGAGGAAAAAGAUACACGUAUGCUGCUUGACUAUGGGAAACAGGAUAAUGCAAAUGCAUAAUGCUUAUAGUCCUGCCACUUCCCUUUUCAAUGCCCAGCCCUGUUGCUGUUGAUGCUGAUGAAAUGAAUGUUGAGGCGGAAAUUUAAUGCCAGAAAUUGCAAAUUUCCUGCUAUCAAAAACUUGUCGAGCUGCCGCUCCGUGUACACGUUGCACACUCCUUACCCCACAAAGUAUUUACAUAUUUGAUUUGCAGGAUGGCUGAAGUUAUGCUGUUGCUACAGCACACAGC
Drosophila guanche is the source of this 1152-nucleotide long non-coding RNA. RefSeq lists it as uncharacterized. The transcript has 3 exons. The record is from RefSeq and is a predicted model, not a curated record. NCBI's taxonomy places the organism in Eukaryota, Metazoa, Arthropoda, Insecta, Diptera, Drosophilidae.